Molecule: non-coding RNA, 30 nt
Filed under: Homo sapiens (human)
Lineage: Eukaryota; Metazoa; Chordata; Mammalia; Primates; Hominidae
Source: RNAcentral
GGAACUCGGCCAGGUGCUGAUCGGUGAGGU